GAAUUGAAACUUCCUCAAAUUCUUUUUUGACAACAAGAUCAUCUUUCCCACCCAAUACCACCCGUAGAACACGAAAAUUUGUGCCACCAAGGUCUAAUGCAUAAAACAGCCCCUUCUCAUCCACAAAAUAGGAAGUUGGUCUUUAUUAACAAUUCACUGCUGCCAACUGUCAUGAAGUAACCAUAUUCCACAAGAAAUAAAUCAAAAACAUAAGUUGAGAAAUAUUCUCUCAAUGUGAGAUGAAUUCAGUUUGUUUUCUUAUGAACAGAGUAAAAUGAUCUUCCACUUCAAAAACUUCAGACCUUAUUAAACCAGUUCAUCAUGAUUAUUUACAGAUGGAACAUCAGAGAAAUUAUUGCCCAGAGAAUUUUCAUUAUCAAAGUUUUAUGAGAAGUGGAGAGAAACUAGAGACCAAACAAUCAAGGAACUAGACAGAAGGUUUAACGUUAAAAAGCAAAGUAGCAGAGCUUUAGAUGGUUGUACGGUAACAAAAAUUAGUAAAAUGCAAUCCAAAGAAGAAAAAAAACUUUUUUGAAAAGGGGGAAGAAAUCAUCAGCAAUAUCCAAUAGAUAAAACAUGCUUAUAAAAUUUGAAUG
RNAcentral lists this unclassified non-coding RNA (596 nucleotides) under Hevea brasiliensis (rubber tree). Lineage: Eukaryota; Viridiplantae; Streptophyta; Magnoliopsida; Malpighiales; Euphorbiaceae. The record is from RNAcentral.